GAUGAACGCUGGCGGCGUGCCUAAUACAUGCAAGUCGAGCGAACGGACGAGAAGCUUGCUUCUCUGAUGUUAGCGGCGGACGGGUGAGUAACACGUGGAUAACCUACCUAUAAGACUGGGAUAACUUCGGGAAACCGGAGCUAAUACCGGAUAAUAUUUUGAACCGCAUGGUUCAAAAGUGAAAGACGGUCUUGCUGUCACUUAUAGAUGGAUCCGCGCUGCAUUAGCUAGUUGGUAAGGUAACGGCUUACCAAGGCAACGAUGCAUAGCCGACCUGAGAGGGUGAUCGGCCACACUGGAACUGAGACACGGUCCAGACUCCUACGGGAGGCAGCAGUAGGGAAUCUUCCGCAAUGGGCGAAAGCCUGACGGAGCAACGCCGCGUGAGUGAUGAAGGUCUUCGGAUCGUAAAACUCUGUUAUUAGGGAAGAACAUAUGUGUAAGUAACUGUGCACAUCUUGACGGUACCUAAUCAGAAAGCCACGGCUAACUACGUGCCAGCAGCCGCGGUAAUACGUAAGUGGCAAGCGUUAUCCGGAAUUAUUGGGCGUAAAGCGCGCGUAGGCGGUUUUUUAAGUCUGAUGCGAAAGCCCACGGCUCAACCGUGGAGGGUCAUUGGAAACUGGAAAACUUGAGUGCAGAAGAGGAAAGUGGAAUUCCAUGUGUAGCGGUGAAAUGCGCAGAGAUAUGGAGGAACACCAGUGGCGAAGGCGACUUUCUGGUCUGUAACUGACGCUGAUGUGCGAAAGCGUGGGGAUCAAACAGGAUUAGAUACCCUGGUAGUCCACGCCGUAAACGAUGAGUGCUAAGUGUUAGGGGGUUUCCGCCCCUUAGUGCUGCAGCUAACGCAUUAAGCACUCCGCCUGGGGAGUACGACCGCAAGGUUGAAACUCAAAGGAAUUGACGGGGACCCGCACAAGCGGUGGAGCAUGUGGUUUAAUUCGAAGCAACGCGAAGAACCUUACCAAAUCUUGACAUCCUUUGACAACUCUAGAGAUAGAGCCUUCCCCUUCGGGGGACAAAGUGACAGGUGGUGCAUGGUUGUCGUCAGCUCGUGUCGUGAGAUGUUGGGUUAAGUCCCGCAACGAGCGCAACCCUUAAGCUUAGUUGCCAUCAUUAAGUUGGGCACUCUAAGUUGACUGCCGGUGACAAACCGGAGGAAGGUGGGGAUGACGUCAAAUCAUCAUGCCCCUUAUGAUUUGGGCUACACACGUGCUACAAUGGACAAUACAAAGGGCAGCGAAACCGCGAGGUCAAGCAAAUCCCAUAAAGUUGUUCUCAGUUCGGAUUGUAGUCUGCAACUCGACUACAUGAAGCUGGAAUCGCUAGUAAUCGUAGAUCAGCAUGCUACGGUGAAUACGUUCCCGGGUCU
This 1372-nucleotide ribosomal RNA is filed under the name uncultured bacterium. RNAcentral describes it as "bacterial SSU rRNA". It matches the Rfam family "Bacterial small subunit ribosomal RNA", at positions 28 to 1381 of the family's 1533-position model. The record is from RNAcentral.